AUUAAAAUACUAAUGAUUCGUGCAAUACAAUAUUGAAAUAUUCUCCGACGUAAGAGCAAUAAGCCAAAGUGGAGCUUAACAAAGAGAGAGAUUUGCAUGUGACGUUCAUAAUUAAUUCGACUAACGAGCAUUUUUUUCAUUAACGGCAUGAAAACGCGCUGAAUAUCGCCGUCAGUAGAUACGCAGCGCGUUCGCCUUUCGAACGCAGAUAUUAUCGCCAUAAUGUCAUCGCAGACCCCGGUAACUCUUAAUAAUCGUAUAGCGUUAAGCGUUUCCUUCCUCCUCGGGAAAUAUUUAAUGCCGUCGUAUUUAACGGGAUGUGCGUUGCGGGGCGCCGAGGCGAGCUUUUUACCGUGCCGGCGAUGCGCCCGGCCGCGAAUAAAUUCGAACCUUUCCGCGGCUGCUCGAGCCGACGACGACGCGACGGUCGGCUUCGAAUUUGGUUUGCUAAUUUCGUCGGCCACGGGCUGCAGAAAAGAUGCACCGUGAUGCACUGUGAGAAAUAUCCUCGUAUGUGCGUGUGUGUGUUUGUGUUAGUGUCGUACACGUAUCGCUCGAUGGGGAUAUGCGGUAUUGCUGCCGGAGAAGCGAUGCACUCUUGUGUCUGCCGCCGCUUGGCAGAUCCGCCAACUACCACCCGCGACCCGCCGUUUCCGCCACUGUCAAGAGAAUCCAUAAAUCUGUCGUCGCGCUUGCCUAGCUCGCGAAUCAGGGGCGAACGGGGAAAAAGAAGAUAUCUGUGAAAACGAAUAGUAUGACGCAAAAUGGAAUUGAGAGAAGGAUGACGUUGGUGCGGGAGGAAGAGGGCGAUGAUAUAGCAGCGAGUAGAAAAACAGGAAGCUGGGUGCAGAGGCCAUAGAAUUGUCCAUGCAGCGAUGUUUAUGCGCUCCGUGGUGCUUGGACCAUGACGGUGUAAUUACAUCACCAAGCAGGUUUCGCCGAGAUCCAAUCGUACGACUACGUAGCGGCACAACUGGAUAAUACUGAUCAAAUACUGAUACCAGCUAUCCAUGCAAGUAUCACAGCCAUCAUACCGAUAAUCCCUUUGUUUGUUAUAAACAAUAGUAGUAAUCCUAUUCCGCAGGCGGCCCGUACAGGUAUUUAAUCGCAUCGCAAAUAUUGUGAUUUAACAGCUAUUUGUAAAUUGUAAUAGUGUUGUAAAUCUAAGCGUACAAUAAUAUUGUAUUUUAUAAUACAAAAUGAUUUGCCCGGAGGCACUGUCUAUUGAUUAGUUAUUAGAGUUAUUACCAAUUAAUCGUUCGUGAUAUGACAUUCAUUUUGCGCGCGAGAUCAAGCUCGCAAUAUCGCUGUGACAGCACGUGCGAUAGGUGCGAAGCAAUUAUAAUGGGUACAGGGAAAUUGUGCGCUGCGCGCACUGACAUGGGAAUGACGCAACGUGACGUUGAAUCGAGUCGAUCUCUACCCAUCAAAAUCUCACCGAGAAUUUCAGCAUAGAUUCAAUCGUACAAUAACGGAAUUAACGCGAGGUAACUGGUUUGGUUACUUGUUUUAAAUAAUAAAACCCAUGAAAUUAACUCGUGCCUCAAUAUGUAAAUAUUGGCUAAAGCGUUAAAGUCUCGUGGCAGAAAAAACAAGAUAUCAAUAAGCGAUAGAAGAAUCAAGGGAACACGAUUCACGUCCACUACAACUAUUUACUGUAUACGCGCGGCUCGGAAAAAUCCCCGCAGAAAUGAGAGAGAGUCGCUUUCGCGACGAUUCGAGUAAGUGAUAUCUAAGCGAGCGUUAAGCGUGCUCGGCGGAGGAAGAAAUAUGCGUUAAGGAACGGGGGGGACGUCAUUCUCGAAUACGCGCCGGGCUGGCGGAAGACGCGGAGAAGAGAGCGUGAAAAGGGGGUGGCGGACGCGCCGCCGGCCAGGGGAAAUAUAAAUCAGGAAUUAUAAAGCAAUUUCGCGGAAACCGCAACAAAACUCGCUGGAGUAAGUUCCAGUCGUUCUCCCCAGACGUUGUGUGGGUGAGAGAGAAGACCGCGGGGGUUGACGCUGGCGUGCGUUUGCUUUCAGUAAGCCGUUACAAACGAUGGUGUGCGCCUGCUUAAUCGCGCAUUACUCUUUUCUUGUCGGCUUGCAUGCGUUUCUUGCACGUUGCGCUCCCGCUUCUUCCCCCACGUGGUUUCGAUUGUUCUUUGAUGAACGCGAUUUCUUUCCAGCCGGAAAGUCGUUUACUACUUCAUCGUUACCGUGAUUUCACUGUCGCUCCCCCGUCGUAUAAAUUAAGCGGAAUUAAGGAUCAAUUAGGAGUAAGUUAGGCAGUCAUUAAGAACUCAUUUUCAGACGGUUAGCUUAUUUCACGAAAACCGCAACAAAACUCCGCGGUUAAUAAGCUUCGCAGUCGAAUGAAAUGUAUGAAAUUAUAUCUGCGUUAUCGCAAUACAUUUCAGCGAAUUAAUGAUGGCAGCGAUUAUAGUACCGACAGUUAAAUAACUUUAUCACGCAGGAUUAACUGACUAUAAGUAAUUGUAGACAUUGAUAAAUCGAUGCAACUAAAACCAUGUUGUGCAUAAUUCAUGCGCGUGUUAUUGCGCGCGGAAGAUACGCAACAAAAAUAGCACAGGUUUACCACACAGAAUUAAUACCAAAUUUCGCCAAAAUUGCUAAAGUUACUAAAAUAAAAUAACGGCAAACAAGAUUAGUUAUUAAGGUGAAGCUGACGUCGUUAAUCUUACCGAUUAAAUGUGACUUACGCAUAUAAUUUAUCAUACACACAUACGAUUUACGAAACAGAUCUCUACAUAUACUAUUUCAUCGAAAUCUCGCGUACACAAAUGGUACAACAUUAUAUUCUGUUAAAUUAGACUUCUAAAGUUUAUAAUAAUUCCAUCAAUACAACAUUAUUUAUUUAUUUUA
This is a long non-coding RNA of Solenopsis invicta (red fire ant), 2864 nucleotides long. RefSeq lists it as uncharacterized. The record is from RefSeq and is a predicted model, not a curated record. The transcript is spliced from 3 exons. NCBI's taxonomy places the organism in Eukaryota, Metazoa, Arthropoda, Insecta, Hymenoptera, Formicidae.